UGGGUUCACUUUAUUUUUUUGGUAACAGCUUUACUUACGUAUAAUUAUAUACAAUAAACUGCACAUACAAUAAAUUGACAGGCAAUAAACUGCAAAGUGUACACUUUGAUAAGUCUUACGUAUAUACACCCAUUAAACCAUAAUCACAAUGAAGAUUUGACUGCACUUCUAACAUUACCAUUUAAUAGGUGUUGGAGCAAGAUGCUCCCAUAGCUCUGUCAGCUCCCAUUCUCUCCUUAAACUACUACAAUCUUGCUUUUGUCCUCUCCAUUGCCUGAACCCAUUCUUGCCAAGGUCAGCAAAAUGGGGCUUGUUCUCUGCCCUUAUCCUACUCACUCUCCCAUAAGCAUUUGAUACAGAUGGUCACUCCCUUCUUCCUUUGUUGUCUUCAGGGACAUUGCUCUCUGCAGGUUUCCUCUUAUCUCAGUGGCUGCUCUCUUUUCCCUCCUUUCCUGGCUUCUCCUCCUGAAGUCUAAAUGUUGAAGUGCCUUGGGGCUUAUUCUUUGACACUCUUUCUUCUUUUUUUUAAGAUUGGCCCUGAGCUAACAUCUGUUGCCAAUGUUUUUUCCUUCUUCUCCCCAAAGCCCCCCAGUACAUAGUUGUAUAUUCUAGUUGUAGGUCCUUCUAGUUGGGCUAUAUGGGACGCUACCUCAGCAUGGCUUGAUGAGCAGUGCUAGGUCUGUGCCCAGGAUGCAAACUGGUGAAACCCUGGGCCGCUGAAGUGGAGCACGUAAACUUAACCACUCAGCCAUGGGGCCAGUCCCUUGAUACUCUUCUUUAUCUAGACUUAUUACCUAAAUCUCAUGACUAAGCAAUAGAUGCUUAUAGAUGGCAUAGAUGACAGUUUAAAUACCCUCUAUAACAGAUGAAGAUCCCCAAAUGUGUCUUGUUGGGCCCAACUUCUGCCCUAAACUUCAGAUUCACAAAUCCAACUGCUUAUUGGACAUCCUCUCUGAGAUCUCUAAUAAAUUUCUCAAAUUAAUACACAUGGAACUGAGCUGUUGUUUUUACUCAAGACUGCAUCUCUUCCAGGUUUCUCCACAUGAAGAAAUUGUACCACCUUUCAUCCAGUUACUUGGGCCCAAACUGAAAGGUCAUCCUCUUUUUCCAUUCCUCUUCCUCACCAGCAAGCCAUGUCUGCUUCAUUCAUUCAUUAAAAAAUAUAUUUAUUGAGUGCAUAGUAUGUGCCAAGCACUCAUCUAAGCUCUUGGGAUAUCACUGAAUAAAAUAAAGUUCUCUGCUUACAUUUCUAGCAGGGGAGAUAAUACUUUGGAAAAAAGAAAAUAUAGAUCAAGGUAAAAAGUAUCAGGAGCGGGGCCAGCCUGGUGGCACAGUGAUUAAGUUCGCACUUUCCACUUUGGCAGCCCAGGGUUCAUCAGUUCGGAUCCCGGCUGCAGACAUGGCACCGCUUGGCAAGCCGUGCUGUGGUAGGCGUCCCACAUAUAAAGUGGAGGAAGAUGGGCAAGGAUGUUAGCUCAGGGCCAAUCUUCCUCAGCAAAAAGAG
This 1504-nucleotide long non-coding RNA is filed under the name Equus caballus (horse). RNAcentral's name for it is "lncRNA (ENSECAG00000051618.1)". Lineage: Eukaryota; Metazoa; Chordata; Mammalia; Perissodactyla; Equidae. The record is from RNAcentral.